This 575-nucleotide ribosomal RNA is filed under the name Erythrobacter sp. RNAcentral's name for it is "bacterial SSU rRNA". It matches the Rfam family "Bacterial small subunit ribosomal RNA", at positions 56 to 677 of the family's 1533-position model. Lineage: Bacteria; Pseudomonadati; Pseudomonadota; Alphaproteobacteria; Sphingomonadales; Erythrobacteraceae. The record is from RNAcentral.
UGCAGUCGAACGCCCUCUUUUAGAGGGAGUGGCGCACGGGUGCGUAACGCGUGGGAACCUGCCCUUAGGUUCGGAAUAACUCAGAGAAAUUUGAGCUAAUACCGGAUAAUGUCUUCGGACCAAAGAUUUAUCGCCUUUGGAUGGGCCCGCGUAGGAUUAGAUAGUUGGUGGGGUAAUGGCCUACCAAGUCGACGAUCCUUAGCUGGUCUGAGAGGAUGAUCAGCCACACUGGGACUGAGACACGGCCCAGACUCCUACGGGAGGCAGCAGUGGGGAAUAUUGGACAAUGGGCGAAAGCCUGAUCCAGCAAUGCCGCGUGAGUGAUGAAGGCCUUAGGGUUGUAAAGCUCUUUUACCAGGGAUGAUAAUGACAGUACCUGGAGAAUAAGCUCCGGCUAACUCCGUGCCAGCAGCCGCGGUAAUACGGAGGGAGCUAGCGUUGUUCGGAAUUACUGGGCGUAAAGCGCACGUAGGCGGCUUUUCAAGUCANGGGUGAAAUCCCGGGGCUCAACCCCGGAACUGCCCUUGAAACUGGAUGGCUAGAAUACUGGAGAGGUGAGUGGAAUUCCGAGUGUA